CCUACGGGUGGCUGCAGUAAGGAAUAUUGGACAAUGGGCGGGAGCCUGAUCCAGCCAUGCCGCGUGAAGGAUGAAGGCGCUCAGCGUUGUAAACUUCUUUUGGACGGGAACAAUAUCCCCGACUUGUCGGGGCUUGAGGGUACCGUCAGAAUAAGCACCGGCUAACUCCGUGCCAGCAGCCGCGGUAAUACGGAGGGUGCAAGCGUUAUCCGGAAUCACUGGGUUUAAAGGGUGCGUAGGCGGUCUUGUAAGUCAGUCGUGAAAUCGCUGGGCUC
RNAcentral lists this ribosomal RNA (275 nucleotides) under uncultured bacterium. RNAcentral describes it as "partial 16S ribosomal RNA". It matches the Rfam family "Bacterial small subunit ribosomal RNA", at positions 338 to 610 of the family's 1533-position model. The record is from RNAcentral.